GUGAGUCAUCGAAUCUUUGAACGCACAUUGCACCCUCUGGUAUUCCAGGGGGUAUGCCUGUUCGAGCGUCAUUACAACUCUCAAGCUCUGCUUGGCAUUGGGUGUCACAUCGCAAUAGUGGUGCACCUCAAAAUCAGUGGCAGUGUCAUCUAGCCUCAGGCGUAGUAAAUUUCUCGCUUUGGAGGUCUUUGAAUGCAUGCUUGCCAAUAACCCAAUUUUUUAUGGUUGACCUCGGAUCAGGUAGGGAUACCCGCUGAACUUAAGCAUAUCAAUAAGCGGAGGA
RNAcentral lists this unclassified non-coding RNA (283 nucleotides) under Helotiales sp. RNAcentral describes it as "partial contains 5.8S ribosomal RNA, internal transcribed spacer 2, and large subunit ribosomal RNA". The stretch from base 1 to 71 matches the Rfam family "5.8S ribosomal RNA", at positions 84 to 154 of the family's 154-position model. Lineage: Eukaryota; Fungi; Ascomycota; Leotiomycetes; Helotiales. The record is from RNAcentral.